RNAcentral lists this ribosomal RNA (856 nucleotides) under uncultured bacterium. RNAcentral's name for it is "bacterial SSU rRNA". It matches the Rfam family "Bacterial small subunit ribosomal RNA", at positions 8 to 848 of the family's 1533-position model. The record is from RNAcentral.
AGAGUUUGAUCCUGGCUCAGAUUGAACGCUGGCGGCAGGCUUAACACAUGCAAGUCGAGCGGUAACAUUUCUAGCUUGCUAGAAGAUGACGAGCGGCGGACGGGUGAGUAAUGCUUGGGAAUAUGCCUUAUGGUGGGGGACAACAGUUGGAAACGACUGCUAAUACCGCAUAACGUCUACGGACCAAAGGGGGGGAUCUUCGGACCUCUCGCCAUUUGAUUAGCCCAAGUGAGAUUAGCUAGUUGGUAAGGUAAUGGCUUACCAAGGCGACGAUCUCUAGCUGGUUUGAGAGGAUGAUCAGCCACACUGGGACUGAGACACGGCCCAGACUCCUACGGGAGGCAGCAGUGGGGAAUAUUGCACAAUGGGGGAAACCCUGAUGCAGCCAUGCCGCGUGUGUGAAGAAGGCCUUCGGGUUGUAAAGCACUUUCAGUUGUGAGGAAAGGGGUGUAGUUAAUAACUGCAUGCUGUGACGUUAACAACAGAAGAAGCACCGGCUAACUUCGUGCCAGCAGCCGCGGUAAUACGAGGGGUGCAAGCGUUAAUCGGAAUUACUGGGCGUAAAGCGUACGUAGGCGGUUUGUUAAGCAAGAUGUGAAAGCCCAGGGCUCAACCUUGGAACUGCAUUUUGAACUGGCAAACUAGAGUACUGUAGAGGGUGGUGGAAUUUCCAGUGUAGCGGUGAAAUGCGUAGAUAUAGGAAGGAACAUCAGUGGCGAAGGCGGGCCACCUGGACAGAUACUGACGCUGAGGUACGAAAGCGUGGGGAGCGAACAGGAUAGAUACCCUGCUAGUCCACGCGUAAAACGAUGUCAACUAGCCCGUUUUGUGUUCCUUGAAGAACGUGAAGUUGGCG